ACGAACGCUGGCGGCGUGCCUAACACAUGCAAGUCGAGCGGGGGGAGUCCUGACAGCUUGCUGUGAGGGUCUCCUAGCGGCGGACGGGUGAGUAACGCGUGGGCAACCUACCCGCGAAUCGGGGACGAACAGUGGGAAACCGCCGCUAAUACCGGAUGAGCUUUGCCUGUCGCAUGGCAGGCAAAGGAAAGGCAGCCCUCCUGCUUAGCAAGCUGCUGUUCGCGGAUGGGCCCGCGUCCCAUUAGCUAGUUGGUGGAGGUAACGGCCCACCAAGGCGACGAUGGGUAGCCG
RNAcentral lists this ribosomal RNA (291 nucleotides) under uncultured bacterium. RNAcentral's name for it is "partial 16S ribosomal RNA". It matches the Rfam family "Bacterial small subunit ribosomal RNA", at positions 29 to 289 of the family's 1533-position model. The record is from RNAcentral.